Felis catus (domestic cat) is the source of this 2589-nucleotide long non-coding RNA. RefSeq lists it as uncharacterized. NCBI's taxonomy places the organism in Eukaryota, Metazoa, Chordata, Mammalia, Carnivora, Felidae. The record is from RefSeq and is a predicted model, not a curated record. The transcript is spliced from 2 exons.
UGUGGGGCUUGAACCCACGAACCCGCGAGAUCAUGACCUGAACCGAAGUCGGACGCUUAACCGACUGAGCCACCCAGGCGCCCCUAAGGUAGGGUUUUAAAAAUAUGAGCCUAGAUGUGAGGAGGAGAGAGUUGUCCCAGAACGUUGGGCUGAUGGUGCUAUUGCCUCUGAACACAACUUCCUGGUAGUCUUAUCCAAAACAUAAUGCUGGUGGUUAUCAAGCUCUCCUUUUCUGAUAAAAGGGAGCAUAUCAGCUCUUCGCAAGAACAGAUUUUUCCGAUCCAAACUUUGUAAAUACAUUAAACGAGCUUUGGUCAGAGUUCUCCCCCUCCCUACCCCGUGCUCUUGAACUGAUCUCUGAGGAACUCGGAGUCUCCUCAUCAAUUACAUGCCCACCUCUAGGACCUGCGGAGCCUGCGACCUGGCGAGGCAGAGCCACCGUGCCGGAGCCAAGCUCUGUGCUGGCCCGGGAGAAGUGGGGGCCGGAGGUGGCCGUUUCUGGCACCAGUGGGAACUCUGGGAAAAAGCCAGGUCGCUGAGACACGAGGGGCCUUCCCUCUGAUGCAAGUGAGCCCCCUCCCAGGGGCCACUUCCCAGCAGCCAGAGCAGCAAGUGCCCCGGGAGGGGGCCUGGGAAUGGUUACUGAGAAAUCCCUGGGCUGCCCACACACUUCCCCUUCUGUCAAAUGCCAGGAGGAUUCCUCCCGCAGGCGAGGGGAAAGGUGAGCAAGGUUCACCCCAUACUGAGUCACUGGAAAGAUUAGGGGACCCAGUGGAGAAGGGUGUCAUUCCAUCUCCUCUAGAACUCCUGAGGGGGACCGUAAUUCCAGGCUUGGCCUGAGACGAUCUCCACAGACUUAGGGAGCACUGGAGAAUGGAGCCUCGAAGCCUCCCCCUCCCCUGCUUCCUGCAAGGGCACUGCGGCCUGGUUCCUGGGACAGUGGGAAUCUCCUUCCUGUCCUUGUCCCGUUAUGCUCUGCCUCACCGGCCAAAGACUUGUGGAACCCACACUCUCACCCACCUCUUAGGCCUGGGAUUCCACCUGAGGGACCCCCACAGCCCCCUUCCCAGUCCAGGCCCCUGGAGUGUUUUCCCAGCAGCCUGUCGGCUUCCAUCCUUAGCUGUGGGCCUUGGCGCAGUGGGAGGAAUCUCCCUGCUUGCAUGCCUCACUACAGAGAGCAGGCCAAGGAGCCCACUGCAAAGUGCACCCCUCCUGAGACCACCGUCCACUGGAACUCUGGGGUGCAGCUGCCCCCAGCCCCCCAGCCCCGUUCCCCAAGUCAGCUGGAGGAAGCAGAGAAGCUGGCCCAGGGCUGGCCUGGUAGUCCACCCCCCACCUCCACCCCCCAACCCCUCAUCGUUGUGGAGAUGCCUUUGGCAGCAGAAUUGGAACCAGCCGGGAUGUGAUGAUUCGCCCACGAGGAGGUCUGCCCAUACACUAGUCAUGAGAACAGUUUGCCCAGAGGGGUUUUUGAGGGCCCAGGCCAGACAUGAGUGUGAGGGAAGUCCCAGCUGGCCCUUGAACCCAUCUUUUAAGGCUGCUAUCACCAGGCAAGGCCGUAAUGGGACAGGGGUGGGGACCAGGUUGGGACAGGGUUGGACUUGGUCUUGGGGCUAGUUAUGGAGGGAGGUGGGUGGAGUCACCAAUCCCUCCCCUCCAGCCCCAGGUGGUCCUUAUCACCGCUUACCUGGACCGUGGCAACAGUCUCCUCAGGACCUCCCUGCCCAAGCCUUGAGCCUCUAAUCCUUCCUCCCGAAGGACCCUUAGACCUGCCCUGUGAGCUGAUCAAGGGCCAAGUCUCUCUCUGGCUCAUAAAUCUUCAAUGGCUCCCAAUAGCUAGUGGGAAGCAGAAGACUCUCAAGGCCUUGCGGUUGACUUCAGCCAUACUUCCAACCACCCUUCUCACCAUGCCCUGAGAGAACGUUGUGCCUCAACCAAAGAGAGAACCAUGCCUCUUCAGGCUCCAGGCAUCACCUUCCCCUGGACAGUCUUCCUUUCCCUCUCUUCAAGGGCCUUUGCAGAUGCAAGCAAGUUAAGACAAAGCCACACUACAUUAGGGUGGACCCUGAUCCAAUGACUGGUGUCUUUAUCAAAAGAGGGAACGGACACACAAAGGGCAAGGGCCACGUGGAAACAGAAGUGGAGGUGAGAGUGGUGCAUCCACAAGCCAAGGAGCCAAGGAUUUUGCCAGUCACUGCGGGGAGCCGGGCAAGAAGCACAGGACCCUUUCUCCCUCAGAGCCUCCAGAAGGAACCGACCUUCCGACACCAUGAUUUCUGGCCUCCACGCCUGGGAGAGUAUAACUUUCUGUGUGGUAAGCCACCCAAAUUUGUGGUGAUUUGUUAUGGCAGCCCCAGGAAACUAAUACAGCCCCCGAACAGAGAGACCGCCUGCGAUGGAAGCCGACACUGGGGAAAUGAGGGCCAUGGACUUGGACUCUUGGCACUCUGACAACACUUGGAUCCAGCGGUGGCUGAAGCAAGGGGUCUACGUGAGCUGAUAUGUUCUCAAUUUUACUUACGCCAUUUUGGCUGAGCUUCUGUCUGGUUCAACAGAGAGAGGCCUGACUAAUACAGAGAUAAUGUAAAA